RNAcentral lists this ribosomal RNA (468 nucleotides) under uncultured bacterium. Its description in RNAcentral is "partial 16S ribosomal RNA". It matches the Rfam family "Bacterial small subunit ribosomal RNA", at positions 28 to 507 of the family's 1533-position model. The record is from RNAcentral.
GACGAACGCUGGCGGCGUGCUUAACACAUGCAAGUCGAACGGAAAGGCCCUGCUUUUGUGGGGUGCUCGAGUGGCGAACGGGUGAGUAACACGUGAGUAACCUGCCCUUGACUUUGGGAUAACUUCAGGAAACUGGGGCUAAUACCGGAUAGGAGCUCCUGCUGCAUGGGGGGGGUUGGAAAGUUUCGGCGGUUGGGGAUGGACUCGCGGCUUAUCAGCUUGUUGGUGGGGUAGUGGCUUACCAAGGCUUUGACGGGUAGCCGGCCUGAGAGGGGGACCGGCCACAUUGGGACUGAGAUACGGCCCAGACUCCUACGGGAGGCAGCAGUGGGGAAUAUUGCACAAUGGGCGGAAGCCUGAUGCAGAAACGCCGCGUGCGGGAUGACGGCCUUCGGGUUGUAAACCGCUUUCGCCUGUGACGAAGCGUGAGUGACGGUAAUGGGUAAAGAAGCACCGGCUAACUACGUG